CUAUUGAUAGGAAUGAAAAUUGGUGCAGCCACUAUGGAACAGAAUACGGAGGCUCCUCAAAAAAUUAAAAGUAGAACUACCACGUGAUCUAGCAAUUCCACCUGGGUAUUUAUCCAAAGAAAAUGAAAGAGUUAACUCGAAAAGAUAUGCGCACCCUUAUGUUCAUUGCAGUAUUAUUUGCAACGGCCAAGAUAUGGGAACAAGCUAAGUGUCUAUUGAGGGAUAAAUGGAUGAAGAAAUUGUGGGAUAUCCGUACAAUGCAAUAUUAUUCAGCCAUAAAAGUGAAUAAAAUCUUGCCAUUCGUGAGAACAGAGAGGGACCUCGAGGGCAAUAUACCAAGUGAAAUAAGUUAGAGAAAGAAAAAUACUGUGUGAUCUCUCCUAUGUGUGGAAUCUAAAACAAAACAAAACAAAACAAAAAACACCAAGCUUGUAGAUACAUAGAAUAGAUUUGUGGUUGCCAGAAGCACAGGUGGGAGGUGGGAGAAAAAAGUGAAGGGGAUCAAAAGGUAAAAAGAAAAGAAAAAAGAGCGGGGCCUGGGAAUGCCUUUACAGGGUCCUUUUCUUAUGGCUGAGAAAUGUGUAAUUAAACACAAGGAAGAUGUCAUUCUCUUUUCCUCCUAACUUCCAAUGUCCCUCUAGUGACUCCUCUUGGGAAAAUGUAGUAGUAAUCAAACCGACAAAAAUGUGUGGGUAAUGUAGUUUUCUGAGUUCCAGCUUUUACAUCACAGAGUAUUAAAGGUGGAUUUGGGAGUUGAUAGACAAUAAUUGUACCUAUCUAAAAAUCUGUUAUAAUGAUUUAUAAAUAGGGAUCCAAAUGUGUGUUGCUUUAUUAUGAUAAUUAUAUUGGAAACAAUACAUAUUUCCAUCCUCCAUAACUUUCACACAUAAAUAUAACAUAAAAACAUAAUAGUAACAUAAAAACAAGUCUCCAUACACUCAAGGGUUUUUUCCACAGUUUUUUAUCCUAUUUCUUGCAUGCUAUAAUCACUUUGAAGGGAGUCAGAAAUUCGUG
This 1014-nucleotide long non-coding RNA is filed under the name Equus caballus (horse). RNAcentral's name for it is "lncRNA (ENSECAG00000050621.1)". Lineage: Eukaryota; Metazoa; Chordata; Mammalia; Perissodactyla; Equidae. The record is from RNAcentral.